GUCUCAGGCUGUGUGUAUUAAGGCGACGGCAGUAUUCUGUUCCUGGCCCAAACUCUUUGUGGCAUAUAGAUGGCAACCAUAAGCCAUCAGGUGGAGAUUUCUUGUCCAUGGUGGGGUGGAUGGAUUCAGUCAUUUAGUGGUCUACCCUGACUGUGGCGGGCAAUAACAGAGCUAGCACGGUCUUACAGAGGUUUAACACUGCUGAGCAGUAUGGGCUGCCAUCAAGGGUACGGUCUGAUAAAGGGGGAGAGAAUGCAGAUGUUGCAGAAUUCAUGAUCAGGAACAGAGGUGCCAACAGGAAUUUGCACAUCACAGGCAGAAGUGUCCACAAUCAGUGAAUAGAGAGGAUGUGGAGAGAUGUUUAUGAACAUGCCCUGGACAUCUUCUAUCAGAUCUUCACUUCACUGGAAGAUCAGGGAACACUGAAUCCAGACAAUGAAGUUCAUCUUACGCACUGCACCGGAUCUUCCUUCCACUAAUUCAGCAAAGCCUUGAUUCUUUCAGAGAUGCUUGGAACUUUCAUGGUCUUAGAACUUAGAGAAAUCAGUCACCACAGCAACUCUGGAGAAGAUACAGAGAGCAAGGCCCAAUGGAGGAUCCUACUGAGGUUUAUGAAGACUAUGGGAUUGACUGGAACGGACCUCACAGUCUUCAUGGAGGCACUGUGUCAGUACCCAAGAUUCAGCUGGCCCGUGAGCGCUUGGAUGAGGAGGUUGCCAUUCUGCCAGCUCCAGGAGUUUCUGUAACUGAUACACUUAGAUCAUAUAUAGAGACUGUGCAAGUUUUAUCAAGAAUCAUAGCAGACUGAUGUCCAACCUGUGCUUUUAUUUGGCAUCUUAAAACAAGCAGACAUUUGUU
This is a long non-coding RNA of Myripristis murdjan (pinecone soldierfish), 858 nucleotides long. RefSeq lists it as uncharacterized. Lineage: Eukaryota; Metazoa; Chordata; Actinopteri; Holocentriformes; Holocentridae. The record is from RefSeq and is a predicted model, not a curated record. The transcript has 4 exons.